UAUCCAGACUCCUACGGGAGGCAGCAGUGGGGGAUAUUGCACAAUGGGGGGAACCCUGAUGCAGCGACGCCGCGUGGGUGAAGAAGCGCCUCGGCGCGUAAAGCCCUGUCAGCAGGGAAGAAAAUGACGGUACCUGAAGAAGAAGCCCCGGCUAACUACGUGCCAGCAGCCGCGGUAAUACGUAGGGGGCAAGCGUUAUCCGGAUUUACUGGGUGUAAAGGGGGCGCAGACGGCGAUGCAAGCCAGGAGUGAAAGGCCGGGGCCCAACCCCGGGACUGCAUUGGAAACUGCGAGGCUGGAGUGUCGGAGAGGCAGGCGGAAUUCCUAGUGUAGCGGUGAAAUGCGUAGAUAUUAGGAGGAACACCAGUGGCGAAGGCGGCCUGCUGGACGAUGACUGACGCUGAGGCUCGAAAGCGUGGGGAGCAAACAGGAUUAGAUACCCGGGUAA
RNAcentral lists this ribosomal RNA (448 nucleotides) under uncultured bacterium. RNAcentral's name for it is "partial 16S ribosomal RNA". It matches the Rfam family "Bacterial small subunit ribosomal RNA", at positions 328 to 793 of the family's 1533-position model. The record is from RNAcentral.